GACGAACGCUGGCGGCGUGCUUAACACAUGCAAGUCGAACGGUGAACCGGGCUUCGGCCCGGGGAUCAGUGGCGAACGGGUGCGUAACACGUGGGCAACCUGCCCCAGACACUGGGAUAACUCCGGGAAACCGGGGCUAAUACCGGAUACUCUCAGCCGACCGCAUGAUCGGCUGAGGAAAGCUCCGGCGGUCUGGGAUGGGCCCGCGGCCUAUCAGCUUGUUGGUGGGGUAACGGCCUACCAAGGCGACGACGGGUAGCUGGUCUGAGAGGACGGCCAGCCACACUGGGACUGAGACACGGCCCAGACUCCUACGGGAGGCAGCAGUGGGGAAUCUUGCACAAUGGGCGCAAGCCUGAUGCAGCGACGCCGCGUGGGGAUGAAUGCC
This 388-nucleotide ribosomal RNA is filed under the name uncultured bacterium. RNAcentral describes it as "bacterial SSU rRNA". It matches the Rfam family "Bacterial small subunit ribosomal RNA", at positions 28 to 416 of the family's 1533-position model. The record is from RNAcentral.